UACGUAGGUGGCAAGCGUUGUCCGGAAUUAUUGGGCGUAAAGCGCGCGCAGGUGGUUUCUUAAGUCUGAUGUGAAAGCCCACGGCUCAACCGUGGAGGGUCAUUGGAAACUGGGGAACUUGAGUGCAGGAGAGAAGAGUGGAAUUCCACGUGUAGCGGUGAAAUGCGUAGAGAUGUGGAGGAACACCAGUGGCGAAGGCGAGUCCCUGGACGAUACCUGACACUGAGGCACGAAAGCCAAGGGAGCAAACAGG
This 253-nucleotide ribosomal RNA is filed under the name uncultured bacterium. RNAcentral describes it as "partial 16S ribosomal RNA". It matches the Rfam family "Bacterial small subunit ribosomal RNA", at positions 524 to 776 of the family's 1533-position model. The record is from RNAcentral.